AUUCAUCUGACGUGUCCCAUACAGGACGAAACGCGCGUCCUGCAU
Schistosoma haematobium is the source of this 45-nucleotide non-coding RNA. Lineage: Eukaryota; Metazoa; Platyhelminthes; Trematoda; Strigeidida; Schistosomatidae. The record is from Rfam.